UUUCUAGUCUCGUUUGGUUUCGAGAGCCUCCCUCUCCCCGUCCCUUACUCGUCUUUUGAAAGCCGUCGUCCUGGAUUUUCUUUCCGUAUGCCGGGGAAAGUACCUCACCCUCACCUUUCUACAUUUAUUAUUAUAUAGAAUUUCCCCGGGUCUCUAUAAAACAGAAUGAAAAGCCCGGGUGGAAGCACAAACAAAAGGAGAGAGAAAAAGUAGAAAAGAAAGGGGGGAAGAAGUCUAGUGCUAGUUCUUACUAAGACUUCUUUAUCUAACUUUCAUUUUUGAGUGGUUUCUUUGUUCUCUUAUUUGGAUUGAAAGAAAGAAAAAACUUCCCUUUCUUUCUCUUCUUUAUUUUUGUUUUAUCCCUUCGACGAAUUUCGGCUAUGACCAAUGCCCCACUAGCUAAAUAGGCGUAAGAAAAAGCUACCUGAAAAAAAAGCAAGGUGCACCUUGAAUUGAACUCGACGAAUUGCGUUUUGCCAGAGAGAUUUUUUUAGAAAGAUUCUCCAUUGGUAAUUCAAAAAUAGAAAGAAUAUAAAUAAAGGCGCAUACGCGGGAAGGGGCCCCCACUACUUCUUCAUUCAGGGG
Molecule: long non-coding RNA, 585 nt
Filed under: Nicotiana benthamiana
Lineage: Eukaryota; Viridiplantae; Streptophyta; Magnoliopsida; Solanales; Solanaceae
Description: long non-coding RNA (NBEN_LNC035141)
Source: RNAcentral